UUUCCGUAGGUGAACCUGCGGAAGGAUCAUUACCGAAGAUCGACAUGCUCUUAGGAACAGAGCAUCGUCGUGACCUAAUGUUGGUAAAUACCAACCGGCUGUGAGAGCAGACACAGUCGUGAUUCCGUGUGGUGAUGGCUUAACAAAAUGAACAGCAGAACUGGCUUAAUAAUGUUGGUAAAUACCAACCGGCUGUGAGGGGGCACAGUCGUGAUACCUACCAUGUGAACAGCAGAAUUGGUAUACUGAAGGGACUAGGGAGAGUCCCGAUAAUUAAACGAUGCAGAACUGGCUAACAAAUGGGACCGUCGCCGAAGCACGAGGGCUUCAAAACCCGAUUGCAAGGCACGAGGGCGGUCCAAACGUCGGCGGCAAAGGACAACCUGAUUGAAUACUUGUUGCAACUUCGGGGUACCUGUCGUGCUCACGGCGUCGAUUGACCGUAUUUGUCGGCGUCGUGCGGUACGAUGAGCAGGCCGCGGGAAACCCCCGCAGCUUUGCGAAGGUUCAAAGAAGCGCUGGUUCGCGUCGCGCACGCCGGUUGACCGUAUUUGCCGGAGUGUGCGGAGGCGACGUCGGAGGCGCUCGCCCCGAAGCCAUUUCUCUUGUCUUUCGUACGGUUGCUAUCGGUCGCCUGCCGGUCGACGGAGACCACCCUUGGCCGUCUCGGGGUGGACGACGUCGUGCCGGUACGGUGCUGCCCAGUGUGGAAAAUGAUACAACUCUAAGCGGUGGAUCACUCGGCUCGUGUGUCGAUGAAGAGCGCAGCCAGCUGCGUGAAGUAAUGUGAAUUGCAGGACACAUUGAACAUCGAUAUCUUGAACGCACAUUGCGGCCUCGGGUAUUCCCGAGGCCACGCCUGUCUCAGGGUCGGUUGAAAUUAUCUAUCGUCGGUUGACCGUAUUUGCCGACGCAUUGGACCGUCGCGGAGCGCUGACCGUAUAGGCGGCUCGAUCGGUUGACCGUAUUUGCCGAUCGCGCCGCCGCGUGCUCCACGUCGUCCGAAGUACAGACGGGUCUGCGCCUAAGCCUUGCCGACCGCACGUCCUAAGUCCGCCCUUGCGGACGGGGACGGCGACUCGGGACCGUAAGAGAAGCCGUUGCCCGUUACUCGGCGCGGUACGGUCGGUGUAGGCCGUGGCAUUGACCCACAAGAACGAUGAUGGACGUGUUCGACGGUUGACCGUAUUUGCCGUCGGCAGACGUCCUCUUCUUCUUCGACCUGAGAUCAGACGAGAUUACCCGCUGAAUUUAA
Molecule: ribosomal RNA, 1255 nt
Filed under: Tubificoides parapectinatus
Lineage: Eukaryota; Metazoa; Annelida; Clitellata; Tubificida; Naididae
Description: eukaryotic LSU rRNA
Rfam family: 5.8S ribosomal RNA (bases 721-873)
Source: RNAcentral